CGGUAAUUCCAGCUCCAAUAGCGUAUACUAAAGUUGUUGCAGUUAAAAAGCUCGUAGUUGGAUUUCUGCGGGGACGGAGCGGCCGGACGCAACUUGCGUCUCGAGCUAGCGCUUUCCCCGCAUCCUGCCGCGAACCGUGCUACCAUUAGCUUGGUGGCGCUGGGGAUCGGCUCGAUUACUUUGAGAAAAAUAGAGUGUUCAAAGCAGGCCACACGCCUUGAAUAAGUUAGCAUGGAAUAAUGACUAAGGACUUCGGUUCUAUUUUGUUGGUGUUCGGGACUGAAGUAAUGAUUGAUAGGGACAGUUGGGGCGGUCUGUAUUCCAAAGCGAGAGGUGAAAUUCUUAGACCUUCGGAAGACAAACAGCUGCGAAAGCGUUCCGCAAGGAUGUUCCCUUUGAUCAAGAACGAAAGUUGGGGGAUCGAAGACGAUCAGAUACCGUCGUAGUCUCAACUAUAAACUAUACCAGCUAGGGAUCGGUCAACGUUUAAUCAUUCGACUUGAUCGGCACCUUAUGAGAAAUCAAAGCAUCUGGGUUCCGGGGGGAGUAUGGUCGCAAGGCUGAAACUUAAAGGAAUUGACGGAAGGGCACCACCAGCCGUGGAGCCUGUGGCUUAAUUUGACUCAACACGGGAAAACUUACCAGGUCCAGACAUAGUAAGGAUUGACAGAUUGAUAGCUCUUUCUUGAUUCUGUGGGUGGUGGUGCAUGGCCGUUCUUAGUUGGUGGAGUGAUUUGUCUGGUUAAUUCCGUUAACGAACGAGACCCCAGCCUGCUAAAUAGCGCGGCUGAGCUUUGCUCGGUGCGAGCUUCUUAGAGGGACUAUGAUGCGCGAUAGCACAUGGAAGUUUGGGGCAAUAACAGGUCUGUGAUGCCCUUAGAUGUUCUGGGCCGCACACGGGCUACACUGGCGCCUGCAACGAGCAUAUCAGCUGGCCCGAGAGGGUCUUGGCUAAUCUUUUGAACCGGCGCCGUGCUUGGGAUUGACCAUUGCAAUUGUUGGUCAUGCAACGAGGAAUGCCUUGUAAACGCGAGUCAUCAGCUCGCAUUGAAUACGUCCCUGCCCUUUGUACACACCGCCCGUCGCUCCUACCGAUGAAUGUUCCGAUGAAAUUUUCGGAGAGCGCCAGAGAACGGGGCUCUGCCUUGCAGAUCUGGAGGCUCAAAGUCACUUAAAUCUGAACAUUUCGAGGAAGGAGAAGUCGUAACAAGGUAGCCG
RNAcentral lists this ribosomal RNA (1218 nucleotides) under uncultured Rhizaria. RNAcentral describes it as "SSU rRNA". It matches the Rfam family "Eukaryotic small subunit ribosomal RNA", at positions 577 to 1805 of the family's 1831-position model. The record is from RNAcentral.